Long non-coding RNA from Monodelphis domestica (gray short-tailed opossum), 795 nucleotides. RefSeq lists it as uncharacterized. Lineage: Eukaryota; Metazoa; Chordata; Mammalia; Didelphimorphia; Didelphidae. The record is from RefSeq and is a predicted model, not a curated record.
GAGGCUUAUACGGUUAGAGAUCUAGAAUGUCGGAGUUUGAACCAGAAGAGGCAUCAGAGAUCAUCUGACAGUCCGACUGCUCAUAUUACAGAGGAGGAAUGUGAGUCUGAAGAGAUCUGGGAUAGAUGGUACAGAACGAUGAGUUGGUGGAAAAGAAGAAAAGCGGCCUGAAUUGCCUUCAGGAAAUUGCAAAGCUCCUCUAAUGACCCCAAGCUUCCUAGAAAAGCAAAGGCCUAUCUUUUUUAAUACUGACAUUUUACAGCAGCAAAACAUGCAAUCCCACUGCCUCCAAAGGACUGAAAAGAGGAUUAUUAUACAGGGACCUAUGGAUAGAUACAAGGGUUAAUGGAAGAUAUAUGUAAUGAGAUUUCAGGGCAUGCACAAACUUUGUCGUGCAAAAAAAAUACAUCAUUAUUUUCAUUCACCUGCAACUACAUUUUAGCACUUUCUUCAAUUAUUUAAAAAUAUUCUGAAUAUUGUGUCCCAAGAAAUAAUGAAGGGAAUGAUUUCGGAAAAAUCUGAGAACUUUAUAAACCAAUACGGACAGAGAUGAGAACCAAGAGAACAAUUCUACAAUAACAAUAUUGUAAAGACAAACAACUUUGGAAAACUUGAGAGUUCUGAUCAAUGCAAUGACCAGCCAUAAUUUACAAAGGUCAAGAAUGAAACAUGUUACUCCCCUCUUAAUGGGGAGGCAAUGGGUUUAGGAAUCUGGUUGGAGAAAGAAAUUUGUUUUGCUUGACUAUGUCUAUUUCAUUAAAAAAAAUUUAUUUGAGUGUUCUUUCACGGUUACAU